This is a long non-coding RNA of Hibiscus syriacus, 2076 nucleotides long. RefSeq lists it as uncharacterized. Lineage: Eukaryota; Viridiplantae; Streptophyta; Magnoliopsida; Malvales; Malvaceae. The record is from RefSeq and is a predicted model, not a curated record. The transcript is spliced from 3 exons.
GCCACCGUCUUGAAACAAACUAAAGAAACAAAACCCUAAUUUAUUUUGAGGGAUUCCAAAAAAGGAAAAAAAACUGGCAAUUUUUUGCUUUUCUGCUUCACUUUCACUCCCACUGGAACUCUAUCUCGUUUUCUUUGUCAUUUUUCCCGGAAAAUUAAACUUGUUAUUUGGAUUGGGAUGACGGUUAUUUGAAAAACGGUUACGUUAAUUAGACAAUUGCCAAAAUCGUAGCGGAGGCUAGGGUUAGGACUUUCCCGUUUCUUUCUUCUACCCUCGUCAUUUUGUCUAGAAAAGUUUCUUCUUUGCCCCUUUCGGUUCAAACUCUGGCGUUUGGGAACUUAUUUUUGAAAUUUUAAUCCAGGGUUCUCAAUCUUACCCCAAAUUUAUUGUUAUUUUAGAAUUAUUUUACUAAUUGAACUGCUUUAUGAGAAUUUGCUGUUAUCUUGAUUUUUUUAAUUUAUUGGAAAUUAUGAGGGUUAUUUGAGUCCAGAAAAUCAGCAAUAUGAGAGUCGAUGGUGAUAAAGGGAGAGAGUUAACUAAAAUAUAAGCUCUUUAUUUUAGUGGUUUUACAUAUGUUAAAUUUCUGCUCCUUUUAAUCAAACAAUUCUUCUUUCCAUUUGUUGAACAGCGUAUUAAAUCCUGAGUUGAAUGACAAGCGACUGGGUUAAGAGUUUGUGAUUUGUCUACGAAUUAAAAAUAAUUUGGUGGGUUAGGGUUUUACGAAGGUGGAAGAAGGUUUUCCCCUCUGAUUAUCAUGUUCAGUUUCCAUUAUGGAAAGAAGUGAACCAGAAUUAGUUCCAGAAUGGUUGAGAAAUACGGGCACUAUUAGCGGGAGUGGCAAUGCAGCCCACCAAUCUGCUUCCUCCUCUUCUCUCUCAGAUGUUUCUUCAUCGCCACAUCAUGGGAGAAGUAGAAGCUCUAGGAAUAUUGGUGAUUUUGAUUCCCCUAGUUUUGCAUUUUUGAAUCGGGCAUCUUCCUUGAAUUUACGGAGGAGUUCUAGUAAUUUCAAGGCAUGCUUAUAGUAGUUUUAGUAGGAGUCAUCGUGAUAAGGAUCGAGAAUGGCAUAAGGAGAGGUUAAACUUUGGUGUUCGUUGGGACCGUGAUUCUUCCGACCCUUUAGAAAGUAUUUUAGCGAGUAGCGUUGAGAAAUUAGGAGGUAUACCCACCUCAAGGGUGGAGAUUGAUACAUUUCGGCAGUCUCAUUCUAUGGUCUCUAGGAAACAGGCUGACCCUUUGGCUCAAAGGACUGCAGUGGACUCAAGAGACAGGAGUAUUAGUAACAAUGACAAUGACAAAGGUCUGGUUUCUGGGGGUGCUAUUGGGAGUAGCAUCCAGAAGGAUGCAUUUCGGAAAGAUUUUCCCUCUCUUGGAAUAGAAGAGAGGCAAUCAGUGCCUGAGAUUGCUAGUUACAUCUCCUGGUUUGAGCUCAGUUUCUCAGUGUUUAUCUGUUGGCAAUUCAGCUUUGAUUGAUGGGGAAGGAUGGACCUCAGCUCUGGCAGAAUCACCUACUGUGGUUGGUAGUAGUAGCACAUGUUGCUUUCCUGCCCCCUAACUGUUUCCACCCCAGUGUCUGUGGUUCCAAGUGCCACAUCUGCUCUUAAUAUGGCAGUAGCACUAGCUCAAGCUCAUUCACGAGUACGUACUGCUUCCCAGUUAUCUGUCAAUACUCAAAGGCGUGAGGAGCUGGCCAUUAAGCAAUCAAGGCAACUAAUACCAGAGACACCUUCAAUGCCUAAGGGUUCGGUAAGCUAUUUGCCUUCACUUUCAGAAAAAUAUAGUUUUCUAGUGCUGUUUAAUUUGUGGUUUUACUCGUAUUAGACAAUUUUGGUUCCCGUCCCUCUUGCUUCUGCCUUCUUGUACAUUAUUUAUAUUGAUCAGACAUUGUAUACUUAAUAUUUCUUUAUAUCUAUUUCCUGAUAUCUGCAUUUAGGUUUUCUAUGUUAUACAAAAACUUUAUUUUGGUACUUAUGUGCUGGAUUUUAUCCUACUUAGUUGUCUAUAUGGCAAUAUUACCGAAAUUUUGAUAGGGUAAAGUAUACUAAUGGUCACUAAACUUUUCUAAAGCUUUCAUUUAGG